Molecule: ribosomal RNA, 895 nt
Filed under: Staphylococcus arlettae
Lineage: Bacteria; Bacillati; Bacillota; Bacilli; Caryophanales; Staphylococcaceae
Description: bacterial SSU rRNA
Rfam family: Bacterial small subunit ribosomal RNA
Source: RNAcentral
CAAGUCGAGCGAACAGAUAAGGAGCUUGCUCCUUUGACGUUAGCGGCGGACGGGUGAGUAACACGUGGGUAACCUACCUAUAAGACUGGAAUAACUCCGGGAAACCGGGGCUAAUGCCGGAUAACAUUUAGAACCGCAUGGUUCUAAAGUGAAAGAUGGUUUUGCUAUCACUUAUAGAUGGACCCGCGCCGUAUUAGCUAGUUGGUAAGGUAAUGGCUUACCAAGGCAACGAUACGUAGCCGACCUGAGAGGGUGAUCGGCCACACUGGAACUGAGACACGGUCCAGACUCCUACGGGAGGCAGCAGUAGGGAAUCUUCCGCAAUGGGCGAAAGCCUGACGGAGCAACGCCGCGUGAGUGAUGAAGGGUUUCGGCUCGUAAAACUCUGUUAUUAGGGAAGAACAAACGUGUAAGUAACUGUGCACGUCUUGACGGUACCUAAUCAGAAAGCCACGGCUAACUACGUGCCAGCAGCCGCGGUAAUACGUAGGUGGCAAGCGUUAUCCGGAAUUAUUGGGCGUAAAGCGCGCGUAGGCGGUUUCUUAAGUCUGAUGUGAAAGCCCACGGCUCAACCGUGGAGGGUCAUUGGAAACUGGGAGACUUGAGUGCAGAAGAGGAAAGUGGAAUUCCAUGUGUAGCGGUGAAAUGCGCAGAGAUAUGGAGGAACACCAGUGGCGAAGGCGACUUUCUGGUCUGUAACUGACGCUGAUGUGCGAAAGCGUGGGGAUCAAACAGGAUUAGAUACCCUGGUAGUCCACGCCGUAAACGAUGAGUGCUAAGUGUUAGGGGGUUUCCGCCCCUUAGUGCUGCAGCUAACGCAUUAAGCACUCCGCCUGGGGAGUACGACCGCAAGGUUGAAACUCAAAGGAAUUGACGGGGACCCGCACAAGCGGUG